AAUAUUGGUCAAUGGGCGCAAGCCUGGACCAGCCAAUCCGCGUGUAGGAUGAAUACCCUAUGGGUUGUAAACUAUUUUUUGACAAGAAGAAACCUCCAUACGUUUAUGGAGCUGACUGUAUUGUAAGAAUAAGCACCGGCUAUCUCCGUGCCAGCAGCCGCGGUAUUACGGAGGGUGCAAGCGUUAUCUGGAUUUAUUAGGUGUAAAGGGGGGGUAGGGUGAUGAUUAAGUCAGAGGAGAAAUCUUACAGCUUAACUGUAGAACUGCCACUGAUACUGGUCAUCUUGAAUUUAGUUGAGGUAGGCGGAAUGUGUUGUUUAGCGGUGAAAUGAUUAGAUAAUACACAGAACACGGAAAGGGAAGCUAGCUUCUUAAGCUAUAAUUUCGCUGAGGCAAGAAAGCGUGGGGAACAAACAGAAAUAGAUUCCCUGGUCGUCCACGCCGUA
RNAcentral lists this ribosomal RNA (446 nucleotides) under uncultured marine bacterium. RNAcentral's name for it is "bacterial SSU rRNA". It matches the Rfam family "Bacterial small subunit ribosomal RNA", at positions 360 to 804 of the family's 1533-position model. The record is from RNAcentral.